UGGUGACAUAGGUUAGACUUGGCCCUCGAU
Molecule: non-coding RNA, 30 nt
Filed under: Rattus norvegicus (Norway rat)
Lineage: Eukaryota; Metazoa; Chordata; Mammalia; Rodentia; Muridae
Source: RNAcentral